CCUACGGGAGGCUGCAGUGGGGAAUAUUGGACAAUGGGGGCAACCCUGAUCCAGCCAUGCCGCGUGUGUGAAGAAGGCCCUCGGGUUGUAAAGCACUUUCAGUGAGGAAGAACGCCUGGUGGUUAAUACCCAUCAGGAAAGACAUCACUCACAGAAGAAGCACCGGCUAACUCCGUGCCAGCAGCCGCGGUAAUACGGAGGGUGCGAGCGUUAAUCGGAAUUACUGGGCGUAAAGCGCGCGUAGGUGGCUUGAUAAGCCGGUUGUGAAAGCCCCGGGCUCAACCUGGGAACGGCAUCCGGAACUGUCAAGCUAGAGUGCAGGAGAGGAAGGUAGAAUUCCCGGUGUAGCGGUGACAUGCGUAGAGAUCGGGAGGAAUACCAGUGGCGAAGGCGGCCUUCUGGACUGACACUGACACUGAGGUGCGAAAGCGUGGGUAGCAAACAGGAUUAGAUACCCUGGUAGUC
This 465-nucleotide ribosomal RNA is filed under the name Vreelandella stevensii. Its description in RNAcentral is "partial 16S ribosomal RNA". It matches the Rfam family "Bacterial small subunit ribosomal RNA", at positions 338 to 795 of the family's 1533-position model. The record is from RNAcentral. Lineage: Bacteria; Pseudomonadati; Pseudomonadota; Gammaproteobacteria; Oceanospirillales; Halomonadaceae.